Sus scrofa (pig) is the source of this 165-nucleotide non-coding RNA. NCBI's taxonomy places the organism in Eukaryota, Metazoa, Chordata, Mammalia, Artiodactyla, Suidae. The record is from RefSeq and is a predicted model, not a curated record.
GAAUAAAAUAAAACUUAACAUGGAUUAGCAAUUUCAGUUGGGGUGACCUCGGAGUACAAAAAACCCUCCGAGUGAUUUUAAUCUAGACAAACCAGUCAAAAUAAUCAUAAUAUCACUUAUUGAUCCAAAAUUUUGACCAACUGAACAGACCGAUCACUAGAAAUG